RNAcentral lists this long non-coding RNA (319 nucleotides) under Panax ginseng (ginseng). RNAcentral describes it as "long non-coding RNA (PGIN_LNC001760)". Lineage: Eukaryota; Viridiplantae; Streptophyta; Magnoliopsida; Apiales; Araliaceae. The record is from RNAcentral.
GUUGAUCAACACUUCAUUCAUUAAACGUGUAUACGUUUAAGUUGUGGCAACCUCACGUGCCUGUCGUUAAACGACAAAAAUAUUUUAGCAUACUUGGUCUUCGAUUGAAAACCAUACCAAUAUAACUCGGUAAACAUAAAUCAUGCUUGACAGAAUCAUAAUAUAAGUCUAGCCAAAAGAGUUGGCUUUAGACUUCAUCGUUAAAAACUUCAUACGAAAGAAUACAUGAAUUACAAAACUUGUCCAGACUGAACUGGAACAAGGGUUAGAAUACUUGCCUUUAGCGUCUGCUUACUGAUUAACACUUGUACACUUUAAG